Molecule: small RNA, 8781 nt
Filed under: Histoplasma capsulatum
Lineage: Eukaryota; Fungi; Ascomycota; Eurotiomycetes; Onygenales; Ajellomycetaceae
Description: hypothetical RNA
Source: RNAcentral
AAACCGCUCUAUUAUUAUUGUUAUUGUUAUUGCAGUUCCACAGCGUCCACUGCCCCUGAAGUAACGUCGACGGAGAAAAGCCAAAAAGUUGGAGGAUAUUAAACACCAGUUCUCGCUAGCUCACUGUUCCAUCCCAAUUAUUGAGCCAGCUUCAUCGAUUGGGUGUAUGCAAAGGACAACCGCCGACGACAGUUCCCGUCCUGUUCGAUCAGUUGCUGAUCUGGGCUCUUGGUAUGGUAUGGAGCGUGCAAAGCUGCCCGCCAAAGCUGCAGAUAGCGGAGUGAGCGCCCCGGAUCGAUUCAAAAAGAAUGCCAUUGUGGGGCGAAGAAACACUGCGCACUCUGGCGCUUGCUAGCCGAUCGGCAAGACAGGAUUUAGGAGCGGGAUCUACAUAGCAAGGGGGAAAAGCCCAGGGGAAUAUUGAAUAUUGUCGCUCGGUUGAUCAGGUUGACGAUAGAGAUGAGCAGGGCGGCGGAUACAGUAUGUACAUACAUUGCCCUGACAGCGAGGAUAUUUCACGAAGAUGAAUAAUAACAUCUAUCAAAAAUGCUACAAAAAUGCUACGAGUAUGGCAGUACUCUAGCAAAAGCAAGCCAACGGCACGCCAAUAACGCCCUCGACGGUGAUAAUAGCUACGACAUAAAAGACCACUGGUUGGGGACAUAUAACUAUAACCCUGCGGGGCCAUGGACGGUUAUCUAAUAGGAACGCUCCGCAGGCUGCUCUAACUGAAAGGCAAACUCCAGCCUUGUAUCCUCAGCUAAGAUACCAAACACCAAUAUAUCACAAAAAGAAAACAGCAUGUUCUCCGUCCUACUUCUUCCCGCAGACAAAAAUUGGGCCAACAGGUUUAAACUAGAUGCUGGUGAAGCAAGCGAAGCAAUUAGGGGGAGAGUCCCCACAACAACACGUCAUAUACGGCAAACAUGAAUUGAGCAUAAACAAAGAGAGGCCAAGGGCGAUAUCCAGAGCUUGCGGUUCAAAAGUGGGCGAGAUGACAAACAGCGGCGUGGGGCCGGUCGUCAUCUCUACCACAGAUUCGAAAGGGGAAAUAAAAAGACAUCCCUUCGAAGUGAGCAGACGGCCCGACCAUACUGCUAUGGCGAGGUGGGCAACAUUGUACUGUACAAGCUGCUCGUCGAACCCGUGGCCCUGCUUCCACCUGUCAUUAUUUCUUCUUCCAACGGCUUCGUCCACUAUUAACACAUUCGCAUUUUAAUAAUCACUGAAUCCUGGGUAUCCUAGAGCUUUUAAUUCUUGAAAGGGGCGACCACCCUCUAUCCCCCAGACGUUCUAAAAAGAAACGGGUUGGGAAAAGAAGGGAGGAACAAAAAAAAUAAAAUAAAAUAAUAACGGGUCAUGUUUAGAAGGUGCAGUUCACACAAGUCCCACAAUCCCCGUUCCGAAACAUGGAUUGUAGCAGGAGAAACUGUGCUGAAACCAGAGGAGAAAUGCCCAGCCUCCCCUUUUUCGAUUUCGCUCCUCUCUCACAUCUCCCAUGAUUCACGGUUGCCGCAAAAUUCCACAAUCAGCCUUUCCAGGUCGGCCAACUUGUAUGGUUUCGUCAUAUAGCCUUCCAUCCCCACUUUGGUAGCUCGGCCCAACGCCUCAUCCGUGACAUCCGCACUGACUGCUAGGAUAGUCGGGCUGGGUGGUAAUAAAACGUCCGGGUUCGCACUCCGCAUUCUAUCACGAUGACUCCCAACCAUAUCCAGUAUUUCCUCCGUCGCCUGAUAUCCGUCCAUAUCGGGCAUCCAGAGAUCCAUGAGGAUGACGUCGACAAACUUCGAUUUGGGCACCUGCUUGAUAGACGGCUCGUUGAAUGUUGACAUUUGGCAGUCUUCUAUGAGCGACGUUAUCGUGUCAGUGCUCAUUUCGGAGACACUUCGACUAGAAGGGCUUUGCGGGGGUGGUCCUGGGUCGGGGGCAACGUCGUUCAAGAUCAUCUCGCUCAUAAUACGAACAGCUUCUUUGCCGUUGAAAGCCUCAUAUACAUCGUUGUAUCCCAGCUUCGCAAGCAUGCUAACGAGAAUUCGUCUAUUGAUUUUGUUGUCUUCGGCUACAAGAAACGUGAGAGGGUGUUUGUCGGCAAGAUGGCGGUCAUAGCCAUUGGAGCUAAGAAGGGCGGAACCGCCACGGGAUGAAAUCGAUAGGCGACGUGAGGGUGCUAGCCAACCGCCGUUUGUGAAGCUCGAGCUUGCUCGAGCUGGUGCCGGGCGGUUUGAAGAAGGAUCCGACGGGGCAGUUUCGGAACCAUUCCCGACCGAUUUAGGCCCAUUUGUUUGACUGUCGCAACGUGAAGAUGGGUUCGAAUUCGAUUGGGAAACUGUGCACUCGUCGCGUUGAGGCGUGGUUGGCGGGCUGACACUGUCGUUGGGGCUUAUGGGUAGCCGGAUUUCGAAUUCGGAUCCACGAUCUGGUUCCCUCGUCGAAGAACGACGGCAUCUUAAAUCACCGCCAAGCUUCCUAGACAAGCCCUUGGCGACCAACAGCCCGAGUCCCAAGCCUUCCUUGCUCCUCGUUGUAGAGUCGUCUUCCCGAGCAAAAGGCUGGAAGAGGUUUGGAAGAAAGUCCUCUGGAAUACCGGUUCCAGUAUCGCUGAUAUUAAUUAAAACGCACUUGCCCGAACUACUCAACUUUGUAACAAGCGUAAUGGUUCCAGACUCUGUAAACUUGAGAGCGUUGAUAAAGACGCAGGACACCAACUUGGUAAAGUCUCUUUCGUCGACAUAUAAGAUAUCCGGCACUGACGGGUCGACAAACCAAUCGAUAAUCUUUGUCGAAGCCCGGCCAUUUGAAGAUCUUGACCUAAUCUCGAUUUUUUGCCCAAACAUGUUCGGCUCAACGAAAGCGGAAUCCGGACGGCCUCCUACAUGGAGUGAUUCGUGGAUAAGCGGUUGGAGUAUCUCACGGAUUUUGGUGGACUGCAGUGUCAUCGGAGGGAAGACCUUGGGUUUAACGUAUAUGCUAGAACACGAAAACUGCUCAGGGAUUGAGGCGCGUCGUGCAUUGAUCAAAGCUUCUUGGACUUCGUUGUCUUCCUCGACUCGCGGGCCGGCUUGAACGAUUUUGUCGCUCUCUUCAACUACCGUCUUGACUUCUGCGCUUCGGGGUGAGAGUUCUCGUCGACGUAAUCUGGGUGAUCUGGAUCCUGACGGAGGGCUAUAAUUCCAAUCAACUGGACUACUCCUUCUACGCUUGUAUGGAUUUACAGCAAUGUUGUUCCCUUCGAUUAGGAUAUUCGGACGAGUAUCGUAUUCUCCACUAUAUGACCGCAAAGAAGCUCCAGUACUUUGCUCACCAGCCUGGUUCUGGGGUGUUUCAGGUAUUUGCAUAUUUAGAUCGUAAGCAUGCACCACAUUAUCAGCUGCCUCCACUGCUCUUCGAACGCUAUCUGUAACGUUGUACCAGGCCAUUAACACGACUUGACAUCCAAAAUAAUGGAACGGCGCCAACUACGCUAAAUAUCGAAGACGGAACUAACCUUGGAUUGCCUCAAUGUUAUCUUUGAGCUCCUGGAACACGGGAAUUACUCCUGCUGCAUCGAGACGCUUGUCCAUUGCUUCUUGCACGUUGGCAUGCAUGACAUCCAGCAUCCCAACCACCCCUUGCAUCGGUGUUCUUAACUCAUGGGAUAGGCUCCGUGCAUACGGUUUGAACGACUGUGAGCCCGUCGUGGAGUGAUGAUAGACCGUGGGUCUACUUGCUUUUGCUCUGCCUCUUCGCUGUUGUUGUUCGUCUCUUUUCUGGACGAGCGUUGGCUUCUUGUAGUUCUGUUCGUCCAGGAUGCGGUGUUGUACAAAGUCCUCCAAGGAAUGUAGGAUCAUCUCAAGAUAUGCCCAGGAGACAUCACGCCUCGCUAAACCUUCAGCGGUCCACAUCAGCCCAAAAUGAGCAAAACAUUUUCCACCCGAGAACAAAGGGACAGCCAAGUAGGCAUCCAUUGGGAAUGGGAGCAUAUUUGGGCCAUUGCUUAUGUAUGAAGUCAAGUUUUCCGGGAUGAGGAAAACCUUGUCGUGCUUCAUGAAGUCACAAGGUAUAUCCCGAGCGAGAUGCUUGUAGUUUCUGUGCAUCGCUGAGAUCGAGUCGCCAUUGUUAUAGUACAGAGCGAUACCUAUAUAGGGAGAAUACUCAUGGGUUUCAGUGGCUGGCAUCAGAGUAUCGUAGCCAUUCUGGCAUGGGGCCGGCUGGGGAUUUGCGGAGGCUACAAACGAGCAUUGGGCAUUGCAAAUCGCUGCUACUCCUUCUAGCAACCGUUUCCAAAAUGUCUCGGUCUCAGCAUCCCUUAAUUCUUCCUUGAGUCUUAGGAGACGUUCAAUCGCAUUGCUCUGUCCAACCUCAUAGUAUUUCAUCAUUCCACUGAGAAGCUCCGGCUCUCCGCUAGAAGUCAGGCCUGGUAGAUAAAGGGUCUGGCGAUUAAUGAAAACCGAAUCUACGAAUUGGCUGGAGGGAUUUGGUCCAAAAGUACUCGACAUUGUCCCGCGAACCUUGCGACCUCAUAUAGCCCCGACAAUCUCUAUUCUCGGGGGAUGGAAAUGGAAUCGGGAAAUAUUAUUGGGGUAUCGAGAACUCGAAAUGGCUGGAAAAUCGCCUUCCUUGACAACAGUAGAAUGUACAGAGCAUGCUCAUCAGCACAGAAAAAGCUCAUUCAAUAUUCGAGUACACACACAAGUCCGGUAUCCGGCGUAGUUUUGCGGUUGGAGGUGCAAGAAGUAAAAGGGAGACUGCGGAUCUGGAUCUGGCCGCACUACCUGCUUUCUUUCGGGGACAUUCGGAUAGCUAGGAGAUUUCAAUCCAGGGCAACCUAGGUAGAUAACGGACUCUGGACGAUGAGGAAGAGUGGUCGUGCGCCGCGCUGCUACCAGGCUGCAAUAAUUCGGCGGUCUAGGUGAAUAGCAAUCAGCGGGAGGAAGCCAAAAAACGAUGCCUUGGGGGAAAUAUAUAAGGAAGCCGGCUCAGGAAGAAGGAUAACAAAUAAAAGCAACGACACGGAACAGAGCCACAAGGACGGGGGAAGUACACCAACAAUGAGCAAUGCUGCUGGUUGUCUCCAGCCGGGGCGGAAGAGGUGUGGAAGCGGUGUUGGAGGACGGCGACGGCGCAAAGAGGGGCACACGAAGGGAACCAGCCGCCGACCAUUUAAUUAAUCAAUCGACAACGACGUCCGUGAAUAGGGGGCGACCACCACCAACCACUACGACUGCCACGACGACUUGUGCUCACUAGUUACUACUGUUGGGGACACCCACGACGGUGGCAUAACCUGGUCUGUCGCCGUAUUCUCCUCUUACUACGGAGUAUAGUUGCUACUAUUAUUGCGACGAGCAGGGGAUAGGAAUGACGCAGUUGGCCGAAGUGGAACACCCAGCGGUGUCUCCAGUAUAUAAUGCUUCCUCUCGUGCAAAGCAACGGAGGAUCCUCCAGGCCAAUCCCUCACCAAAUGAUGCUAACUAUUUAUCCUGUUUACCCCCAAAAUCUAGGCCAAGGACUCUCUCGCUCGCCUUUCUUUUUCUCCGUCAACUUGGCCUCUGUGCACGGGAUACUAACGAGGCCAGGUCCCGCCUGGACGCAUUCGAUUUUCCUUCGAUCAUGAAGUGGCAAUCCAUGGCUGGACACACUCUUGGGUUCCACAGACCACCAGCCGCGGGAUGCUUCGAAUAUCAAGCCCCCAGAGCCAAGAGUUCAGCGCCUCCUCGUUUCCCCGCAUGGACUAUGAGUGCUUGAGCUCUGGGUUUCUGUUUGGCCCUUCAAUCGCGACAGUGCUUGGACGUUGUUUCGCCCUAGCGCGGGUUUAGCCUGCCGCCAAAAGUUAACCAUUGGCCUUGAACUGCAAAGUUGGACGGGGAAGCACGGAUCGAAGCCCCGUGGCUGGACUGGCGAUCAUCAGGAUUAAAAAGAAACAACAGAGCAAAAAGGGACAGUGGCAAAUAACCACAACGUGAGCCUGGAAUUGCAUAGUGUAUCUGCUGACCAUCAACUCCGUACAGAGUUCGAGAAGCUACGAUGUACGCUGGAUUUUUUUAAAACUUCCCUGGAUUAUCAAUUUCUGCUAGCAUGCCGAUGUGGUCGCAGAAAGCCGCUCCAGGAGAACAGGCCUCUGCGUCUGGACCUUAUCGACCAAGAAAAUAUUGGCGAACCAUGCAUCAACUGGCAUCGUGCAUCCAGAGCAAAAAUUUUCGUAAGGUAAUGUUGGUGGACAUCAGAGCAAGGGUCUACAGUAAGCUUGUGCUUGUGCUUCUGUAGCAAGAAGAAUGGGGAGCUUUGAGAAAACCAGCCAUGACGCUGAUCCAACAGAGAAAGAAUUUCUGACCAAGGCCCCAGCCUAAUUGCAAGGAAAACUACUCUGUACUCUGUAACCGAUUCUAGAACUAGCACAUGUCCUGGCUCCAGAGGGCGGCGAUGCCACCACCUGCGUGAUAUCUCUACACACCCACACCCACCCACACACACACAAAAAAAAAAAAAAAAAACUUGGUCCUUUUGAACCCCCAAACUCCCAGCGUUCCAGUCGCCUCUCCGGGAUGGCCUUUUUACUGUUUGCUUGUUCAAUAGUAAUUGACAAGCGGCGGAUAAUGGAGAACUACUAACACAUGAGAAGUAGGAGAACAAAUUACAAAUUCAGCGUGAAACGCUACAUCCAAUGACCGAGGCGGGUGCAAACGGUAAAUGCAGGCAGGCUAGAGCGGGAGAGGGAUACAAGCCCUACCUGCACUUCGCCAAAAGCAGUGAAAUGAGUGAUCCAUCCAUCAAGAGCGAUGCAGAAAAUCCCUGAGUGGGAUUCUCUCCGGGGCCCAGGAGACACUACUACUAAUAUUGUUCAUUUUCAUAAACCAUGAAGCACGAUGCGGGAAGGGAGAGAAUUGAUCCGACGAGCUUUUGCAUGUUUGAAAUUGGACUUACAUCAAGUGGCCUCGGAGGAGCACUCCUUCACAGAUACCACAGAAAAUACUCCUACUGGUCCACCCAACCUAGAACGAUCGGGCGAAUCUCGAGUUACCCCAGUAUCUCCGAUGAAAAGUCACUACAAGGUACAUGUACUGUACAUGUACUGUACACUACAUUCUCGACUCUCCAUCUGCUAUCUGCUCAUCCUGUCUUCAUCCUCUCUUUGUCGCUUCUUAACUCCCCGAGCGUCAGCAACCAGAGUGUUCCAUCAUGCAUGGUUGCAUACCAGUAUUUGCUCGAAAAAUCACCCGAACUCUGUUUGUCCUUUGUCUGGUUCUUCAUAUUUAUCAGUUUAUGUGUAUGCCUAUAGAAGUAUAUACAUAUAUAUAUAAUUAGACAGAUUGCACAAUUUGGUCCCCCAAUUCGCUCUACUUUACAUCGAAUGACACAGAGAACUAGAAUAAACCAUCUACACAGUUGCGCCAACAUGCGUUGUUGGACUUUUUCCACAGGCCGCAGCUAACUUUCAGCUUUCAUUUGCAUGUAUGUUUGUUCUGCAGUCGGCACGUACCUUCGCACUUCCCAUGCGGCGUCAUCUCCUAUACAUGCAUCUUUCCGAGACCCUUGGUCAAUCUUUAAUGCUACCAUCAAUAAGACAACAGCUGUAAAAGUGGCCCCUUAGCUGCAUGGCCCCAGUUUCAAAGGAGAAAUAAUGAGGAGGACUGUCAAUUCAGCUCCCUUAGCGCGCAGAACCGAGUCCCAUCUUAGCAAUUGGGAAAGCGGGAGGGCGGGAGAGCUAUGGGACCGUUUUCUUUCUACUUUCAAGGCGGCUAGUGUGGGGCACAGAAGCGUGUUACCUGAUCCCUCUUUGUAUGAGGGUCCAGGUCCAGGCCUUGGUACUCAAAACAGCCCACCUCCAUGUUCAUCCCUGGUUUCAAUCCAUCAUUAAGCGAAUGUGUAAGAUAAUUUUGGUCUGAAUUUUUCGCCAUCUUCCCGCCGACCGGGAUCGUAGCCCUGCCAAAUAUUCUCGACUCCGAUUGCUCGGCUUGGCUUGCGUCUCCUUAUCGGGUUUCGAUGUCCUGCGUCGAUAAUCCCGUCUCGGGGAAUGUGGUGGGGAUUGGUUUCAGAAUAUGUAUAUAUGUGCUCCAGGUUCACCCAGCCAGAACAAAUUCGAUUUCAUUCCUGUCUUGUUCUUAUGGCCUUCUCGUAUACGUGGACAUGACCAGAUUCUUGGGCUUGGUGUUUUGAGCGCCGUGCUUCACCAGCAGCAGUUCAUGAAGAUAUCAUAUCGCACGAUUGUCCGCUUGGCUCAUUUUGCCAGGGAGCAUCACUUUUCGCUUUUGCCAAGUCCAAUCACUUCUCUAAGGAUUUGGCCAACAAAAAAAAAGAGCUACGCCUCAUAAUACAAAGCUCUUAGCUUCCGUUUGCCAUCUUUUGCGUUUGGUGAUCUCCGUGUCCAUGAAUCAAACUAUGAGAUUAAAGUUUUGCAAAAGGCGGCUCAAAACCGAUAUCAUCACCGCCUCCAGUUUAGCAUAGUUUGUGAAUAUCCGAUUGUAUGAAAAUAACAAAGAACUAGUUAACUACAAUAGAAAAUUAUUAAAUGAUCCCUUCCACCGUCAUCCCCAUUUGCCAACCCUCGUCAUAGCAUACAUGUACUGGGAUGCGGGUAAGGAAAAUGAACUCCGAAGUAGGUAGUUAGUACUUCUCCUCAGAGUAGUCAAAAACGCCCUCCCGUAGUAUCGUCAGCAAGCUUUUACAGCAAGGGCGGGUGAUUGUAAGUUGGCCGCCCCGCUAACGAAAAAUUGCAACGUUGAGAGAAACUUCCGCUGUCCGGAUGUAUCUUCCACUGGUAUAGGAGUCGAGAUGACAAUUGGAUGCAUUCUCAACCCGCACCCC